RNAcentral lists this ribosomal RNA (540 nucleotides) under uncultured eukaryote. Its description in RNAcentral is "SSU rRNA". It matches the Rfam family "Eukaryotic small subunit ribosomal RNA", at positions 202 to 746 of the family's 1831-position model. The record is from RNAcentral.
UGUAUUUAUUAGAUAAAAAACCAAUGCCCUUCGGGGCUUUUUGGUGAUUCAUGAUAACUUUACGGAUCGCAUAGCCUUGCGCUGGCGACGGUUCAUUCAAAUUUCUGCCCUAUCAACUUUCGAUGGUAAGGUAUUGGCUUACCAUGGUUUCAACGGGUAACGGGGAAUUAGGGUUCGAUUCCGGAGAGGGAGCCUGAGAAACGGCUACCACAUCCAAGGAAGGCAGCAGGCGCGCAAAUUACCCAAUCCCGACACGGGGAGGUAGUGACAAUAAAUACUGAUACAGGGCUCUUUUGGGUCUUGUAAUUGGAAUGAGUACAAUUUAAACCUCUUAACGAGGAACAAUUGGAGGGCAAGUCUGGUGCCAGCAGCCGCGGUAAUUCCAGCUCCAAUAGCGUAUAUUAAAGUUGUUGCAGUUAAAAAGCUCGUAGUUGAAACUUGGGCCUGGCUGGCGGGUCCGCCUCACCGCGUGCACUCGUCCGGCCGGGCCUUCCUUCUGAAAAACCUCAUGCCCUUCUCUGGGCGUGUUGGGGAACCAGG